CCUACGGGAGGCAGCAGUGGGGAAUAUUGGACAAUGGGGGCAACCCUGAUCCAGCCAUGCCGCGUGAGUGAAGAAGGCCUUCGGGUUGUAAAGCUCUUUCAGAUGCGAAGAUGAUGACGGUAACAUCAGAAGAAGCCCCGGCUAAUUUCGUGCCAGCAGCCGCGGUAAUACGAAAGGGGCUAGCGUUGUUCGGAUUUACUGGGCGUAAAGGGCACGCAGGCGGUCUUGCCAGUCAGGGGUGAAAGCCCGGGGCUCAACCCCGGAACUGCCUCUGAUACUGCAAGACUAGAGACUAGGAGAGGGUGGUGGAAUUCCCAGUGUAGAGGUGAAAUUCGUAGAUAUUGGGAGGAACACCAGAGGCGAAGGCGGCCACCUGGACUAGAUCUGACGCUCAGGUGCGAAAGCGUGGGGAGCAAACAGGAUUAGAUACCCUAGUAGUCCACGCCGUAAACGAUGAGUGCUAGUUGUCGGGAUUCGAUUUCGGUGACGCAGCUAACGCAUUAAGCACUCCGCUGGGGAGUACGGCGCAAU
RNAcentral lists this ribosomal RNA (531 nucleotides) under uncultured bacterium. RNAcentral's name for it is "bacterial SSU rRNA". It matches the Rfam family "Bacterial small subunit ribosomal RNA", at positions 338 to 892 of the family's 1533-position model. The record is from RNAcentral.